AUGGCUAUAAAGAUUGUCACUGAACCUUCUAAACUACCAAAUAGCCUCCUCAAACCUUCACGUACCGAUGCAAUAGUAAUUGGAUUUGACUGUCAGGGUAUUGAUGGCAUCAGUAUCUUGCUGCUUGCGUUGCCCGAUGCUGUCUACUUAGUUGAUGCUAUUAAGGGUGGACAAGAGUUAGUUCAAGCUUGCAAGAUUGCACUUGAAUCGAUUGCCAUCACCAAAACACUUUUUGAUCAAUAUGGCAUCAGACUUCGUAAUGUGAUGGACACCCAGCUGGGCCCAGCUUGUCUGCACAUAAUAAGGGACAGUUCUUUUGCAACUUAUAGGUGGCUUAAUCGUGAAAUUAAGCCAAGCUUGGGGGUGGGUUUAACUUCUAGCCACCACCACCUCUUUCACGAUGGAAAAAGCUCGGGCCGCCGCUGUCACCACCUAUCCCUACGGCAACGUCGUCGCCGCUUGAAGCUCCGCCUUUGCCGGCACCCUUCGGUUGUCGGCAGAGGCAAUUCGUCUAGCCACCAAGCAUCUUGCUUCGGUUGCAAAGCUCCUCGUUUGGCCCCGUUGACCAUGACACUCUCCGACGGUGACCCCUCUUCCUGUCCAAUCGACACCAUCGUCCUUCCGCUGCCACCAUUCCGCACGUCUCCAACACAACACCCACCCUUCUCGUCUCUCUCUCCCUCUGGAAUCCGGAUCCCAUUGGUCUCGCCACCGGACAUUCUAGGCCACCAUGGUUGGGGCGACGAUUACUCCGGCGACGGGUGCUGCGGGGCUCUCCACUAUGCGUGUGAGCUCAUGCAAGAAAGGGUGGUGCCGGUGUUGCGAGAUAGUGCUACAAGACACGCGUCAAUGCCCACAGCCGUCGGAGUCGAAGAAUCGUGGCGAUACUGCGACAACGUGGACGAGCAUGACGGGGCAGCGGCGAAAGCAUCGAAUGCUGCAAGGACACUCGCCGACCGAAGCACUAGUGCUGUGAGGCUGCUCGUCGGAAGCAUCAAUGCUGCGAGGUCGCUCGCCGACCGAAGUGCCAGUGCUGCAAGGUUGCUCGCUGGAAGCAUAGGAUGUUGCGAGGUCGCUCGCCGGCGGGAGCAUUGGUGCUGCGAGGCCGCUCGUCGGGAAGCAUCAGGAUGA
Molecule: ribosomal RNA, 1131 nt
Filed under: Triticum aestivum (bread wheat)
Lineage: Eukaryota; Viridiplantae; Streptophyta; Magnoliopsida; Poales; Poaceae
Description: partial small subunit ribosomal RNA
Source: RNAcentral